CCGUAGCUCAGUCUGGAUAGAGCACUAGCCUCCGAAGCUAGGGGCCAAGGGUUCGAAUCCCUUCGGGC
RNAcentral lists this transfer RNA (68 nucleotides) under bovine gut metagenome. It matches the Rfam family "tRNA", at positions 5 to 66 of the family's 71-position model. Rfam says of the family: Transfer RNA (tRNA) molecules are approximately 80 nucleotides in length. Their secondary structure includes four short double-helical elements and three loops (D, anti-codon, and T loops). Further hydrogen bonds mediate the characteristic L-shaped molecular structure. tRNAs have two regions of fundamental functional importance: the anti-codon, which is responsible for specific mRNA codon recognition, and the 3' end, to which the tRNAs corresponding amino acid is attached (by aminoacyl-tRNA synthetases). tRNAs cope with the degeneracy of the genetic code in two manners: having more than one tRNA (with a specific anti-codon) for a particular amino acid; and 'wobble' base-pairing, i.e. permitting non-standard base-pairing at the 3rd anti-codon position. The record is from RNAcentral.